CCAAUCUUUUAUGAUUCUGCAUCUUAACUGAUUUUUCUGAUCAUACUUUCUUGUCAACCAUCAUAAUUGAGUGUUUGGUUAUGGAACAAGAUUUGUGUCUUUGGGUGCUGUGAGCAAUGAUUUAGUUGAAGAGAGUGUGGAAGGUGAUGACCUAAGGAGCAGAAUCUUGAGGCUAAGGCUCCCCAAGCGAAGCGCCACAAACAUUCUUCAGAAAUGGGUCCUUCAAGGGAAUCCUGUUACGUUCUCUCAGCUUCGAGAUAUUUCCAAAGAGCUUCGAAGAUCACAAGGGAAAGUAGUGCAAUUGCUGUUUGUUUUGUCAUAUCAUGCAAUAUGUAUUAGAUUCGUUUGGUUAAUUGUAGGUGUAGUGCAUUAGGAAUUCAAUUUUGCACGUUGCUAUUAUUCGUUUGGAUAAGUGCAGAUUUUUCAGAGAAAUAAAUGAGCUGUUAUAGUGAAUUGGAAUUUGC
Molecule: small RNA, 464 nt
Filed under: Vigna angularis var. angularis
Lineage: Eukaryota; Viridiplantae; Streptophyta; Magnoliopsida; Fabales; Fabaceae
Description: Non-protein coding transcript
Source: RNAcentral